Molecule: non-coding RNA, 73 nt
Organism: Phrynosoma platyrhinos (Desert horned lizard)
Lineage: Eukaryota; Metazoa; Chordata; Lepidosauria; Squamata; Phrynosomatidae
Source: the annotation of a GenBank genome assembly
AGCAGUGUGGUGUAGUGGUUUGAAUGUUGGACUAGCAUACUGAGGGACCAGGGUUCGAAUCCCCACUCAGCCA